CCUGAUGCAGCCAUGCCGCGUGUAUGAAGAAGGCCUUCGGGUUGUAAAGUACUUUCAGUUGUGAGGAAGGCGUUGAUGUUAAUAGCUUCGGCGUUUGACGUUAGCAACAGAAGAAGCACCGGCUAACUCCGUGCCAGCAGCCGCGGUAAUACGGAGGGUGCGAGCGUUAAUCGGAAUUACCUGGGCGUAAAGCGCAUGCAGGUGGUCUGUUAAGCAAGAUGUGAAAGCCCGGGGCUCAACCUCGGAACAGCAUUUUGAACUGGCAGACUAGAGUACUGUAGAGGGGGGUAGAAUUUCAGGUGUAGCGGUGAAAUGCGUAGAGAUCUGAAGGAAUACCGGUGGCGAAGGCGGCCCCCUGGACAGAUACUGACACUCAGAUGCGAAAGCGUGGGGAGCAAACAGGAUUAGAUACCCUGGUAGUCCACGCCGUAAACGAUGUCUACUUGGAGGUUGUGGCCUUGAGCCGUGGCUUUCGGAGCUAACGCGUUAAGUAGACCGCCUGGGGAGUACGGUCGCAAGAUUAAAACUCAAAUGAAUUGACGGGGGCCCGCACAAGCGGUGGAGCAUGUGGUUUAAUUCGAUGCAACGCGAAGAACCUUACCUACUCUUGACAUCCAGAGAACUUUCCAGAGAUGGAUUGGUGCCUUCGGGAACUCUGAGACAGGUGCUGCAUGGCUGUCGUCAGCUCGUGUUGUGAAAUGUUGGGUUAAGUCCCGCAACGAGCGCAACCCUUAUCCUUGUUUGCCAGCACGUAAUGGUGGGAACUCCAGGGAGACUGCCGGUGAUAAACCGGAAGGAAGGUGGGGACGACGUCAAGUCAUCAUGGGCCCUACGAGUAGGGGCUACACACGUGCUACAAUGGGCGUAUACAGAGGGGCU
This 879-nucleotide ribosomal RNA is filed under the name Photobacterium angustum. Its description in RNAcentral is "bacterial SSU rRNA". It matches the Rfam family "Bacterial small subunit ribosomal RNA", at positions 382 to 1251 of the family's 1533-position model. Lineage: Bacteria; Pseudomonadati; Pseudomonadota; Gammaproteobacteria; Vibrionales; Vibrionaceae. The record is from RNAcentral.